CAGCCGAGGGCCCAAUUUUUCGAAGUGA
RNAcentral lists this small RNA (28 nucleotides) under Bombyx mori (domestic silkworm). RNAcentral's name for it is "ovarian small RNA-13214". The record is from RNAcentral. Lineage: Eukaryota; Metazoa; Arthropoda; Insecta; Lepidoptera; Bombycidae.